This 454-nucleotide ribosomal RNA is filed under the name uncultured bacterium. Its description in RNAcentral is "partial 16S ribosomal RNA". It matches the Rfam family "Bacterial small subunit ribosomal RNA", at positions 28 to 507 of the family's 1533-position model. The record is from RNAcentral.
GAUGAACGCUGACAGAAUGCUUAACACAUGCAAGUCCACUUGAACUUCGGUUUGGGUGGCGGACGGGUGAGUAACGCGUAAAGAACUUGCCUCACAGAUAGGGACAACAUUUGGAAACGAAUGCUAAUACCUGAUAUUAUGAUUAUAUGGCAUCGUAUAAUUAUGAAAGCUAUAUGCGCUGUGAGAGAGCUUUGCGUCCCAUUAGCUAGUUGGAGAGGUAACGGCUCACCAAGGCGAUGAUGGGUAGCCGGCCUGAGAGGGUGAUCGGCCACAAGGGGACUGAGACACGGCCCUUACUCCUACGGGAGGCUGCAGUGGGGAAUAUUGGACAAUGGACCAAGAGUCUGAUCCAGCAAUUCUGUGUGCACGAUGAAGUUUUUCGGAAUGUAAAGUGCUUUCAGUUGGGAAGAAAAAAAUGACGGUACCAACAGAAGAAGUGACGGCUAAAUACGUG